ACCCGCUGAACUUAAGCAUAUCAGUAAGCGGAGGAAAAGAAACUAACUAGGAUUCCCCGAGUAGCGGCGAGCGAAAGGGGAGAAGCCCAGCGCCGAAGCCCGCGGCCUCUGGUCGCAGUGCAAUGUGGCGUUUCGGUGGCGGUUCGCCGCGGUACCUCUGGCACGCGUACCUCUGAAUGGGUCUGCCCGUAGCGGGUGUCAGGCCUCUAAUUGCCAAACGAGGAUUGCCGUGGCUCGCCGUCAUCGCGGAGUCGGGUUGCUUGAGAGUGCAGCCCAAAGUGGGUGGUAAGCUCCAUCUAAGGCUAAAUACCUAGUGCGAGACCGAUAGCAAACAAGUACCGUGAGGGAAAGUUGCAAAGAACUUUGAAAAGAGAGUUCAAGAGUACGUGAAACCGUUCAGAGGCAAACGGACGGAACUGGGCGAGUUCGCCGUCGUCAUUCAGCCGUCGCUCCCUCGCGGGGCGGCGGUGCACUUGGCGGCGGCGGAGCGCGACGACCGCCUGUCGGGUCGUCAGAAGCCCGGCGGCAAGGUGGCGACGCGUUCGCGCGUCGUGUUACAGGCCGCCUGGGCGUUGGCUGACCUGGCGGGCGAGGAGCGCCUGCGGUGCACUCCCCGAGUGAGCGGGAGUGGCCCGUCGUGGUGGGCUUGCGGACGCCGGCGGCGAACUGCUCGCAGUUCGUUGUCGCGCGCUCUGUCUGUCGCGCCGCGCGGUGCCACGAGGCACCCAGGGUCCGAGUCGCGUGGUUCCCGGCACUCCGUCCGACCCGUCUUGAAACACGGACCAAGGAGUUGAGCACGUGCGCGAGUCGAUGGGCUAUUCGAACCCCAGUGGCGCAGCUAAGGCAAAACGGGCGUGAUCCGGCACUAGCGUGUCGGCGCAACGCCGGCCCGCGGCCGACUCGAUGCGAGUGGCCGCGGCGCAAGAGCGUACGUGCUCAGACCCGAAAGGUGGUGAACUAUGCUUGAGCAGGGCGAAGCCAGAGGAAACUCUGGUGGAGGCUCGCAGCGAUCCUGACGUGCAAAUCGGUCGUCAAACUUGAGCAUAGGGGCGAAAGACUAAUCGAACCGCCUAGUAGCUGGUUCCCUCCGAAGUUUCCCUCAGGAUAGCUGGCACUCGGGAUAAAUGGUUUUAUCCGGUAAAGCGAAUGAUUAGAGGCAUUGGGGACGAAACGUCCUCAACCUAUUCUCAAACUUUAAAUGGGUAAGAGGCGCGACCCUUCCUGAUCGGGGUCGCGUGCUUGAACAGAGAGUGCCCAGUGGGCCGUUUUUGGUAAGCAGAACUGGCGCUGUGGGAUGAACCAAACGCGCGGUUAGGGUGCCAAACGCACGCUCAUCAGAUACCACAAAAGGUGUUGGUUGAUAUAGACAGCAGGACGGUGGCCAUGGAAGUCGGAAUCCGCUAAGGAGUGUGUAACAACUCACCUGCCGAAUCAACUAGCCCUGAAAAUGGAUGGCGCUGGAGCGUGCGACCCAUACCGCGCCGUCGGGGCAAUGCGUGCGAAAUGCCAGGCCCCGACGAGUAGGAGGGCGUGUCGGUGGCGCUGAAGCGUUGUGCGCGAGCACGCGUGGAGCCGCCUUCAGUGCAGAUCUUGGUGGUAGUAGCAAGUAUACAAAUGAGAACUUUGUAGACCGAAGUGGAGAAGGGUUCCAUGUGAACAGCAGUUGGACAUGGGUCAGUCGGCCCUAAGAGAUCGGAAAAUUCCGUUCUGAACGGGGGAGGCGCCGCACGCGGCCGUCAGAACUCGCGCUUCGAGAGAGUGCGGCCGCAGACACGAAAUCAGAAACAAUACUUGAGCAGUGCGCGCGUGACGUCCCCCGAUGCGAUCGAAAGGGAAUCGGGUUAAUAUUCCCGAACCUGGCAGUGGAGAUUGGCCCCUCGGGGCCCAGUGCGGUAACGCAACCGAACUCGGAGACGCCAGCGUUGAUCCCGGGAAGAGUUCUCUUUUCUUUGUUAGGAGCGGACUCCCUGGAAUUGGCUUGUCCAGAGAUAGGGACGUUGCAUCCGUAAAGCGUCGCGCCUCACGCGACGUCCGGUGCAUCAGCGUUGGCCCUUGAAAAUCCGAGGGAGGCAGUGUAAUUUUCACUCCAGGCCGUACCCGAAUCCGCAGCAGGUCUCCAAGGUGAACAGCCUCUGGUCGAUAGAACAAUGUAGGUAAGGGAAGUCGGCAAAUCCGAUCCGUAACUUCGGGAUAAGGAUUGGCUCUGAGGUGCGGGCUGUUUCGGGUCGCGGCAAGAAGCGGACCGUGCGUUGGCUGGACUGGACGUGCUCGCGCGCGUUCGGACCGCCGCCAGCGCGCGUCCGUGGGAGGCCGUGGCUUUCGCCGGCGUCGGCCUCGUGUCGGCGUCGGCUUCGUUCGGCCUAAACGCACAGCACAGAACUGGCACGGACUCUGGGAACACGACUGUCUAAUUAAAACAAAGCAUCGCGAUGGCCGCUGGUCGGUGUUGACGCGAUGUGAUUUCUGCCCAGUGCUUUGAAUGUCAAAGUGAAGAAAUUCAACCAAGCGCAGGUAAACGGCGGGAGUAACUAUGACUCUCUUAAGGUAGCCAAAUGCCUCGUCAUCUAAUUAGUGACGCGCAUGAAUGGAUUAACGAUGUUCCCACUGUCCCUAUCUACUAUCUAGCGAAACCACAGCCAAGGGAACGGGCUUGGCAAAUACAGCGGGGAAAGAAGACCCUGUUGAGCUUGACUCUAGUUUGACAUUGUGAAGAGACACGAAAGGUGUAGCAUAGGUGGGAGCCUCACGGCGCCAAUGAAAUACCACUACUUUCGUAGUUUCUU
RNAcentral lists this ribosomal RNA (2783 nucleotides) under Cellaria tenuirostris. RNAcentral's name for it is "partial large subunit ribosomal RNA". It matches the Rfam family "Eukaryotic large subunit ribosomal RNA", at positions 23 to 2517 of the family's 3401-position model. Lineage: Eukaryota; Metazoa; Bryozoa; Gymnolaemata; Cheilostomatida; Cellariidae. The record is from RNAcentral.